GACGAACGCUGGCGGCGUGCCUAAUACAUGCAAGUAGAACGCUGAAGAGAGGAGCUUGCUCUUCUUGGAUGAGUUGCGAACGGGUGAGUAACGCGUAGGUAACCUGCCUUGUAGCGGGGGAUAACUAUUGGAAACGAUAGCUAAUACCGCAUAACAAUGGAUGACACAUGUCAUUUAUUUGAAAGGGGCAAUUGCUCCACUACAAGAUGGACCUGCGUUGUAUUAGCUAGUAGGUGAGGUAAUGGCUCACCUAGGCGACGAUACAUAGCCGACCUGAGAGGGUGAUCGGCCACACUGGGACUGAGACACGGCCCAGACUCCUACGGGAGGCAGCAGUAGGGAAUCUUCGGCAAUGGGGGCAACCCUGACCGAGCUACGCCGCGUGAGUGAAGAAGGUUUUCGGAUCGUAAAGCUCUGUUGUAAGUCAAGAACGGGUGUGAGAGUGGAAAGUUCACACUGUGACGGUAGCUUACCAGAAAGGGACGGCUAACUACGUG
Molecule: ribosomal RNA, 497 nt
Filed under: uncultured bacterium
Lineage: Bacteria
Description: partial 16S ribosomal RNA
Rfam family: Bacterial small subunit ribosomal RNA
Source: RNAcentral